CGAACGGCUGAGUAACACGUAGGUGACCUGCCCCGAAGUGGGGGAUAACUCGUCGAAAGACGAGCUAAUACCGCAUGUGAUCACCGAUUCAUUUCGGUGCUCAAAGUCGUAAGACGCUUUGGGAGGGGCCUGCGGCCGAUUAGCUUGUUGGUGGGGUAAUGGCCUACCAAGGCCGCGAUCGGUAGUUAGGUCUGAGAGGAUGACCAGCCAGACUGGGACUGAGACACGGCCCAG
This 234-nucleotide ribosomal RNA is filed under the name uncultured bacterium. Its description in RNAcentral is "partial 16S ribosomal RNA". It matches the Rfam family "Bacterial small subunit ribosomal RNA", at positions 99 to 334 of the family's 1533-position model. The record is from RNAcentral.